GGGAGAAAGAAGGCUUUUUCAGCCUUUAAGAUCACUGCUGUAAUACGAGGUGCAUCAGCGGUUCAGAAAAUAACCGCCAGUGAGUGUGAGGCAGUCAUAAAAAACUGGCUAAAGUACAGUGGUGACAGGAGUGGAGGGAGAAAGAGGAGAACUGGGAGACAGCAGGGAGGUGAUGAUACAGUGUCCAGGGACAGCAGCAGCAGCAGCAGCAUGGAUGAUGACGACUUUUAAGUUAUUUAUUUAUUUGUUUGUUUGUUUGUAUUGUUUAUAAUACAUUAUAUUGUUACCUGUAGGUUAUAACUGCUGUCUGUUUUAAUUCCUUAUGACAUUUAAGCUAUGAAUGGACUUCUGUAAGAUCCUAGAAGCUCAAAUAUCAUGCUUAUAACUAUAAAAGGAAAAAACAUGGCUAAAGUUGGCAAUUGGUUAUAAGCCAACGUUGGCAAUUGGUCAUAAGCCAACCGAGUUAAUGACUGUCAAAAAUGACGUUGGCCCAAAGUCAUGCCAACGGCUGCUAUAC
Molecule: long non-coding RNA, 517 nt
Organism: Alosa alosa (allis shad)
Lineage: Eukaryota; Metazoa; Chordata; Actinopteri; Clupeiformes; Clupeidae
Exons: 3
Source: RefSeq, a predicted model, not a curated record